RNAcentral lists this ribosomal RNA (436 nucleotides) under Bacillus sp. (in: firmicutes). Its description in RNAcentral is "bacterial SSU rRNA". It matches the Rfam family "Bacterial small subunit ribosomal RNA", at positions 20 to 446 of the family's 1533-position model. Lineage: Bacteria; Bacillati; Bacillota; Bacilli; Caryophanales; Bacillaceae. The record is from RNAcentral.
UGGCUCAGGACGAACGCUGGCGGCGUGCCUAAUACAUGCAAGUCGAGCGGACAGAAGGGAGCUUGCUCCCGGAUGUUAGCGGCGGACGGGUGAGUAACACGUGGGUAACCUGCCUGUAAGACUGGGAUAACUCCGGGAAACCGGAGCUAAUACCGGAUAGUUCCUUGAACCGCAUGGUUCAAGGAUGAAAGACGGUUUCGGCUGUCACUUACAGAUGGACCCGCGGCGCAUUAGCUAGUUGGUGGGGUAAUGGCUCACCAAGGCGACGAUGCGUAGCCGACCUGAGAGGGUGAUCGGCCACACUGGGACUGAGACACGGCCCAGACUCCUACGGGAGGCAGCAGUAGGGAAUCUUCCGCAAUGGACGAAAGUCUGACGGAGCAACGCCGCGUGAGUGAUGAAGGUUUUCGGAUCGUAAAGCUCUGUUGUUAGGGAA